RNAcentral lists this ribosomal RNA (460 nucleotides) under uncultured bacterium. Its description in RNAcentral is "partial 16S ribosomal RNA". It matches the Rfam family "Bacterial small subunit ribosomal RNA", at positions 338 to 795 of the family's 1533-position model. The record is from RNAcentral.
CCUACGGGAGGCAGCAGUGAGGAAUAUUGGUCAAUGGACGCAAGUCUGAACCAGCCAUGCCGCGUGCAGGAAGACGGCUCUAUGAGUUGUAAACUGCUUUUGUACGAGGGUAAACGCAGAUACGCGUAUCUGUCUGAAAUUAACGUACGAAUAAGGAUCGGCUAACUCCGUGCCCGCAGCCGCGGUAAUACGGAGGAUUCAAGCGUUAUCCGGAUUUAUUGGGUUUAAAGGGUGCGUAGGCGGUCGGAUACGUUAGAGGUGAAAUUCCGAGGCUCAACCUCGGAGUUGGCUUUGAUACUGUUCGGCUAGAGAGUAGUUGCGGUAGGCGGAAUGUAUAGUGUAGCGGUGAAAUGCUUAGAGAUCAUACAGAACACCGAUUGCGAAGGCAGCUUACCAAGCUAAUUCUGACGUUGAGGCACGAAAGCGUGGGGAGCAAACAGGAUUAGAUACCCCAGUAGUC